Molecule: long non-coding RNA, 460 nt
Organism: Aegilops tauschii subsp. strangulata
Lineage: Eukaryota; Viridiplantae; Streptophyta; Magnoliopsida; Poales; Poaceae
Source: RefSeq, a predicted model, not a curated record
UAGAAUAUAGAAAGGUAACAUAUUUGGUGGGCGUGAGGUUUCAUUAUGUCCCUCCAAACUUGUCAGACUUUGCUACUUUGCAUUUUUUGUGAACUGACUCUGCUAGAUACAUGUUAAGAAUCCAAGAUGCUAAGAUGUCAUGUUCAUCUUCCUGCAGGCUGAUGAAGGCCGUCGAAGAUCACAAGCGCAGCUUGCUAUUGUACAGGUUUAGAAUCUAGAAAGGUUGUUAAUUCCAAAUCAAUUUGGAAUCCAGUCAAAACUACUCUCAAGGACUGCUCUGAACCUCAAAUAUCGUCGGCCAAAGAAUUUGUGAUAUGUUGAUUGAUGCAACUAUGCUGUACUGUUUCAGUGACUGUUAAAAGUAGACAUAACAGAAGUCUGGCAUUUUAGGUCACGGAAGUCUGGCAUCCUUUGUACACGAUCCUUUGUACACUAAUAUGAGGCGUUUUAGGUCACGGAA